Long non-coding RNA from Mus musculus (house mouse), 1302 nucleotides. RefSeq annotates it as predicted gene, 39364. Lineage: Eukaryota; Metazoa; Chordata; Mammalia; Rodentia; Muridae. The record is from RefSeq and is a predicted model, not a curated record. The transcript has 2 exons.
AUUUGAUCACUUGGUCCUGGUUGCUGAGGGCAUUGUUUGGGGAGACUAUAGAACCUUUAGGAAGUAAGAGGAUGUAUGUCACAGUGGGCGGACUUUGAGAGUUUAUAACCUUGCCCCACUUCCUGCUUGCUCACUCAUGCUUCCCACCUCCAUGUGCUAACAAAAUGUGACCAUCCAGCUUCCUGUUUCCUGCUAACAAGCCAUGAUGGACUCCAGCCUUCUGGGAGUGUGAGGCAAAACCAACUAUUUCCUCCUGAAGUUGUUUUUGGUUGUGGUUUAUCACAGCCAUGGAAGAGCACGUGUCACUGAAAUCAUCACAUGAAGAGUGCAUGGGCUGAACCCUACAUUUCAGGACAUGCAUGAUAACUGUGUGAGCCAGACAACCAGAUUUGAUGAGGACUGCUGGCCAUUAUCCAGGUUUAGAUGGGUGUUCCUUGAAGAAUUCAAAUUGGACUAAGAAGACAUAGAGGAGUUUCUUCCUAUGAGUUUCAAGUGCUGGUGCUGAUCCAACAUCAACUUGUACCUUGUGAGACUCUUCUGUCCUUCUGAUUCUAGUGUCUAUUUGCAAGAAGCACCACAAUUGGUCCUAGUGCAGGGAGCCUCAUGAACCUGGAACUUCAAUAAGUAGGCUAAGCUAGGUGACCAGCAAGCUUCCAGGAUCCAGCUGUCUCCACCUCCCAUCUCAUGGCUGCUGGGAUUUUAACUGCAUCACCACACCUGGCCUUUUGCAUAGGUUCUGGAGACUCUUAAGGCCUUGUCAACUGAACCAUUUCUUUAGGCAUUUUUUUUUUUUUGUUUUGUUUUGUUUUGAGAUGCAGUCUAUGUAGCCCAGGCUACUCUCAAAGUCACAACCCUCUUACUUCAGUCCCCCAAGUGUUUGUUCCACUAAUGGCUAGCAUUACUUAGUCAUCACUGGUGUGUGUGUGUGUGUGUGUGUGUGUGUGUGUGUGUGUGUGUUUGCACAUGCGCACACAUGCAUACGUGCAUUGUAUACAUAUACAGGUGCACUAUUCAUGCCCAUGGUAGAGACUAAAAGGUGUCUUCCUCUACCCCUUUCCACCAAGUUCUCUUGCUAAACUAGAGCUUAUAGUGUUAGACAGACUGACCAGCCUAUCUCCAGAGCCCGUAGUGCUUCCAUGCAUGUGCUGCCACACCCAGCUUUUAUGUAAGUGCUGGGAUAUGAACCCAGGUCCUCAGGUUUGCCCUAUGCUCACUGAGCCAUCUCCCCACUUUGUCCUUAAAGUACUAAACCCUGUAUUGUUUUAUUGGCAGGUGGAUCACAGGAUAAACAGUUCAAAUGUC